Scophthalmus maximus (turbot) is the source of this 86-nucleotide small nucleolar RNA. Ensembl annotates it as small nucleolar RNA, C/D box 11B. Its record names the gene SNORD11B. The record is from Ensembl. Lineage: Eukaryota; Metazoa; Chordata; Actinopteri; Pleuronectiformes; Scophthalmidae.
UGACCGUGGUGAUGAUGACGACAUUUGUCUUUUCUCCUGAAAUGAUAUAUGUGGGUUUUUCAGUCACUACCUCAUCUGAACAGUCA